Molecule: transfer RNA, 75 nt
Filed under: Deltaproteobacteria bacterium
Lineage: Bacteria; Pseudomonadati; Myxococcota; Myxococcia
Description: tRNA-Pro
Rfam family: tRNA
About the family: Transfer RNA (tRNA) molecules are approximately 80 nucleotides in length. Their secondary structure includes four short double-helical elements and three loops (D, anti-codon, and T loops). Further hydrogen bonds mediate the characteristic L-shaped molecular structure. tRNAs have two regions of fundamental functional importance: the anti-codon, which is responsible for specific mRNA codon recognition, and the 3' end, to which the tRNAs corresponding amino acid is attached (by aminoacyl-tRNA synthetases). tRNAs cope with the degeneracy of the genetic code in two manners: having more than one tRNA (with a specific anti-codon) for a particular amino acid; and 'wobble' base-pairing, i.e. permitting non-standard base-pairing at the 3rd anti-codon position.
Source: RNAcentral
CGGGGUGUAGCUCAGCCUGGUUAGAGCGCUGCGUUUGGGACGCAGAAGUCGCAGGUUCGAAUCCUGUCACCCCGA